This 513-nucleotide ribosomal RNA is filed under the name uncultured bacterium. Its description in RNAcentral is "partial 16S ribosomal RNA". It matches the Rfam family "Bacterial small subunit ribosomal RNA", at positions 28 to 523 of the family's 1533-position model. The record is from RNAcentral.
GACGAACGCUGGCGGCAUGCCUAAUACAUGCAAGUCGAGCGAACAGAUGAAGUGCUUGCACUUCUGACGUUAGCGGCGAACGGGUGAGUAACACGUAAGGAAUCUACCUAUAAGCGGGGGAUAACAUUCGGAAACGGGUGCUAAUACCGCAUAAUAUCUUCUUCCGCAUGGAAGAAGAUUGAAAGACGGCUCUGCUGUCACUUAUAGAUGACCUUGCGGUGCAUUAGUUAGUUGGUGGGGUAAUGGCCUACCAAGACGAUGAUGCAUAGCCGACCUGAGAGGGUGAUCGGCCACAUUGGGACUGAGACACGGCCCAAACUCCUACGGGAGGCAGCAGUAGGGAAUCGUCCGCAAUGGGCGAAAGCCUGACGGAGCAAUGCCGCGUGAGUGAAGAAGGCCUUCGGGUCGUAAAACUCUGUUAUAAGAGAAGAGCAAAUUGUAGAGUAACUGCUACAGUCUUGACGGUAUCUUAUCAGAAAGCCACGGCUAACUACGUGCCAGCAGCCGCAGUAA